This 363-nucleotide ribosomal RNA is filed under the name Klebsiella pneumoniae subsp. pneumoniae KPNIH5. RNAcentral's name for it is "bacterial LSU rRNA". It matches the Rfam family "Bacterial large subunit ribosomal RNA", at positions 2570 to 2925 of the family's 2925-position model. The record is from RNAcentral. Lineage: Bacteria; Pseudomonadati; Pseudomonadota; Gammaproteobacteria; Enterobacterales; Enterobacteriaceae.
GGUAUGGCUGUUCGCCAUUUAAAGUGGUACGCGAGCUGGGUUUAGAACGUCGUGAGACAGUUCGGUCCCUAUCUGCCGUGGGCGCUGGAGAAUUGAGGGGGGCUGCUCCUAGUACGAGAGGACCGGAGUGGACGCAUCACUGGUGUUCGGGUUGUCAUGCCAAUGGCACUGCCCGGUAGCUAAAUGCGGAAGAGAUAAGUGCUGAAAGCAUCUAAGCACGAAACUUGCCCCGAGAUGAGUUCUCCCUGAGACUAUAAGUCUCCUGAAGGAACGUUGAAGACGACGACGUUGAUAGGCCGGGUGUGUAAGCGCAGCGAUGCGUUGAGCUAACCGGUACUAAUGAACCGUGAGGCUUAACCUUAC